ACCCCCAGCUUGCUGGGGUGAUUAGUGGCGAACGGGUGAGUAACACGUGAGUAACCUGCCCCUGACUCUGGGAUAAGCCCGGGAAACUGGGUCUAAUACUGGAUAUGCACCGUGGACCGCAUGGUCCUUGGUGGAAAGAUUUUUUGGUCAGGGAUGGACUCGCGGCCUAUCAGCUUGUUGGUGAGGUAAUGGCUCACCAAGGCGACGACGGGUAGCCGGCCUGAGAGGGUGACCGGCCACACUGGGACUGAGACACGGCCCAGACUCCUACGGGAGGCAGCAGUGGGGAAUAUUGCACAAUGGGCGAAAGCCUGAUGCAGCGACGCCGCGUGAGGGAUGACGGCCUUCGGGUUGUAAACCUCUUUCAGUAGGGAAGAAGCGAAAGUGACGGUACCUGCAGAAGAAGCGCCGGCUAACUACGUGCCAGCAGCCGCGGUAAUACGUAGGGCGCAAGCGUUAUCCGGAAUUAUUGGGCGUAAAGAGCUCGUAGGCGGUUUGUCGCGUCUGCCGUGAAAGUCCGAGGCUCAACCUCGGAUCUGCGGUGGGUACGGGCAGACUAGAGUGAUGUAGGGGAGACUGGAAUUCCUGGUGUAGCGGUGAAAUGCGCAGAUAUCAGGAGGAACACCGAUGGCGAAGGCAGGUCUCUGGGCAUUAACUGACGCUGAGGAGCGAAAGCAUGGGGAGCGAACAGGAUUAGAUACCCUGGUAGUCCAUGCCGUAAACGUUGGGCACUAGGUGUGGGGGACAUUCCACGUUUUCCGCGCCGUAGCUAACGCAUUAAGUGCCCCGCCUGGGGAGUACGGCCGCAAGGC
RNAcentral lists this ribosomal RNA (812 nucleotides) under uncultured bacterium. RNAcentral's name for it is "bacterial SSU rRNA". It matches the Rfam family "Bacterial small subunit ribosomal RNA", at positions 71 to 894 of the family's 1533-position model. The record is from RNAcentral.